CCUACGGGAGGCAGCAGUGAGGAAUAUUGGUCAAUGGCCGGGAGGCUGAACCAGCCAAGUCGCGUGAGGGAAGACGGCCCUACGGGUUGUAAACCUCUUUUGUCAGGGAGCAAGGUGCAGGUCGGGACCUGCUGUGAGAGUACCUGAAGAAAAAGCAUCGGCUAACUCCGUGCCAGCAGCCGCGGUAAUACGGAGGAUGCGAGCGUUAUCCGGGUUUAUUGGGUUUAAAGGGUGCGCAGGCGGAGGCACAAGUCAGCGGUAAAAUAGCGGGGCUCAACCCCGCUCCGCCGUUGAAACUGGGUCCCUUGAGUGCGCGAAGGGUAGGCGGAAUGCGUGGUGUAGCGGUGAAAU
RNAcentral lists this ribosomal RNA (351 nucleotides) under uncultured bacterium. RNAcentral's name for it is "partial 16S ribosomal RNA". It matches the Rfam family "Bacterial small subunit ribosomal RNA", at positions 338 to 687 of the family's 1533-position model. The record is from RNAcentral.